UUCUUUCUUCCUCUCUUUCUUCUUCGCUGAUUCUUUCUUCCUCUCUUUCUUCUUCGCUGAUUCUUUCUUCCUCUCUUUCUUUCUUUCCUUCUUCUUAGCUGAUGCUGCCUGCCUGCCUUCCUGCCGCCGUGCGACGCCGCCUGCUGUCGCCCGCUGUCGCUGUCGUCGUGGGUUCGUCCUCCUUCCAUUAAAAUGCUGUUAUUUGAGUGUCAAUUAAAGGUGCCUAUUUAUUGGUGUGUUCCUGUUUUCAUAAUGGUAGUACUUUUCCAGUUUUAACAAGUUAAUGACUUGAUUUGUUCUGGCUGCCUUGUCAAAUAUAGGACUUAAGUAUACCUUUGUCCAUGAUAAGUGCUUAAAUAAUACUGUCGACUUUAUUCUUGUGCUGUUUCCAUUUAUGUCAUAAGUUUUAAGCAACAGCUUUCUUUGUUAAAAUUCAUUUUGGAGGUUGUAUAAAUUACUUGAUAUUUUUCUGACUAUAUAUAUUGUUCAUUUGAAUUGUGGUUAAUAACAAAGCUGACUCAUUUUGUGCUGACAUCUGAAAAGCAGACUACGUAAAGUGGAAUGCGAAUGCAAUAAUAAAAGAUCUUGGUAUCUCUGAACUUGAGAGAUGAUUACUUAAGUAGUUAGAAACUAGGGUGUUGCAGCAUGUAAUGAUAACGUUACACUAGCAAAAGGUGGUAAGCAAACAGGCAGGGACCUAAUGACAUUAUGACAGUGCUGUUAAUCAUUUCCAGAGACAUUAAACUUAGAAUGUUAAAACUGAAAUAACAUUUAGAUCUUCUUAAAGGUCAGCACUUAAGAUGACAUAAAGGCACUAUGGCAGCAUGGACUCAUGCCCAUGGGUGAGUGGUGAUAUAGCAUCUCCUGGGGAGGAAACACAGAGUUAAAUCAGGUGGUAAUUGGGAAGGCUCAUAAAGGAGAUGCAGACUCUAAAUAGUCUCCAGACCUUUCUCAAGUAGGAAGAGUAAAAUGUGUAACAUUUUCCCUCUACGCAAGUAGAGGCCCCUUUUGCCGUCUUCCCCACUGAAUGUAAGCUCGCUCCAUGUGGUCACUAAUGGAUGACUGAAUUAUGGCCGACAAUGUUAUAUGGCUCUAACGGUAACAUCCACUCACACAGUUUAAUAUCUAUUUUUUGUUUUGCUUAAGAAACUGAACGUGCAUUUAAAAGCAAUUUACAUUAAUACAGUAUUGCCUUCAGGCAAACAUCAUUCCUUCUUCUUGUGCUUUUGAACAGCCCAGCUAUUGUUUGAAGUGAGUCAUCGAAACAACUGGACUCUGGUCUUGCAGGUGUAUGAUUGUUACAAAAUGGUUUUACCCUUCCCUCUCAGCCACAUUGACGGAGUGAGUGAGAGGAGCAGCAGCAGCGCGAGGGCUGGAGCAGCAGCGCAGGGUCCGUCAGCAUCAUUCUGGUCAUGGCAGAGCCUGGUCCUGCCCCUCACAGGAUGAUCUCCCUGCACUACACUGGAAGGAGGGGGCCAGGCGUUUCCCUGCCCCAGCCAGAGGCUUCACUGUUACGCUAAUGGUGUGUUCAAAAUGGCAUCAAUUAGUCUUGAUACAGACUUUGUCAGGAUGUCUCUGGCUUUGGCCGGCUGUGCCAUCUUUCGAGCAGAGCUGUUUCUCCAGAAUCCUUCUGUAGCUCAGUUCCUGUCCUGUCCCUCAGUCUGAGGGAAUUCCUCUAUUCUCUUCUGUGCUGUUUUGUUUGAUGACGCUGAACUACAGUUGGAGAUUGUUGUUUUGCAGAUGCCUCAUUGUACACGUCUCGUGCUGCUCAGUAGAUGCCCCAGCCCAGGUUUGCAGCCGGUGGUGGAGCCACCUGAGGGGAAAGGGCCAGCCCUGGGUCUGGUCGUUUAGUGCUGUCUUUUUAUGGUGAAUAAAAAGGAGGGGUAUUUGGGGAGUGAUGAUGUCAUUUGGGGCCACGCGAGCAUCACCAAAGUGGGCGAUGAUGUGGCAGAGGAGCAGGUGAGUUGGGGAUGGGGGUCACACAGGGUUCCCCCCUAAAAGGUGGGUCAUAGCUCUGAAAUAUCUGAAAAGUCAUGGGGGGGGGGAGAUUAAAAAAUAACAAAACCCGUAAAUAUGAGCGUGAAGUGUUGAAAUAGAGAACAAUCUCUCAUCUCAUUUAUAUAGAGAUGGAAAAGUAAUAUUUAUGUAUAUAAAAGGAGUUCAGAACAAAAUCCUAUGUCUCUAUGGAUUCUGAUUCUGUGAUUCUAUAUUAUAAAAAUGAUCUUAUAAAAGUAUUAAGAAAUAUUUA
This is a long non-coding RNA of Calidris pugnax (ruff), 2248 nucleotides long. RefSeq lists it as uncharacterized. Lineage: Eukaryota; Metazoa; Chordata; Aves; Charadriiformes; Scolopacidae. The transcript has 2 exons. The record is from RefSeq and is a predicted model, not a curated record.